RNAcentral lists this long non-coding RNA (836 nucleotides) under Homo sapiens (human). RNAcentral's name for it is "HSALNT0376280". Lineage: Eukaryota; Metazoa; Chordata; Mammalia; Primates; Hominidae. The record is from RNAcentral.
UCAUUGGGAGGUAAUUGUCACAGAGGGCGGAACCCUCAUGAAUGAGAUUAGAGACACAGGAGACAUAAUCUUUCUUUCUCUUUCCAUCUUGUACGGAUAUGACAAGAAAAUGGCUAUGUGACCCAGGAGGAUAGCCUUCACGAAGAACCUCACCAUGCUGGUACCUUGAUCUUGGAUUUCCAGCCUCCAGACUGUUUCUAAACAUGCAUCUUCACCACCCUGUUUUUUCUCAGUGACACUACCAUGCCAUUCCAGAAACUGCAACAACGUGGGGGCAGCAACCACAUUUUAUCUUCUUUUUAUACAUCUUAAUCAUACUAAGAAGUUAAAGAGUGGAAUUGAAGGCCACAAAAUAAAAAUGAAGUAUUAGAAACAGUCUGAAGCUGAGAAAAUUCUCACCUAAAACGUCUGAUGAUGGUGAUAGAAAACAAAUAUUAUCUGUAGUAAUGACAAGAAGUGAUAGAGCACUAGACAGAAGGCAAGAAAAGUGGAUUCUUGCCUUAGAUAUGCUAACGCUGAAUUGCAAAGUCGUUUCCACUUAACACUUGCCUCAUCUAACUAUCCCUCAUAAAAUGAGGGAAUAAUGACAUGUGAUCUAUACAUUCGCAUGCCUAAAAGGCCAUGAUUCUGGAAGUAAGCUGGACUACUACAUCACAGACAAAUGGACAAAUAACAGAACCAUCACAUUUUUCUACUUUGGUAGCCAUGACUGCCAAGAAAGCCUAUUGACUACAAACCCCUUUAACAAUGAAAGUAAACAAAUAAAAAUUUUCUGAGUUAUGUUAAAUAAAUACAGGUCCAUUCCAUCAUUUCAUUUGAAUAAUAUAUUUUUCGAA